This is a non-coding RNA of Beta vulgaris subsp. vulgaris (sugar beet), 119 nucleotides long. Lineage: Eukaryota; Viridiplantae; Streptophyta; Magnoliopsida; Caryophyllales; Amaranthaceae. The record is from Rfam.
GGUUGCAAUCAUACCAGCACUGAUGCGCCGGAUCCAAUCAGAUUUCCGCAGUUAAGCAUGCUUGGGCGAGAGUAGUACUAGGAUGGGUGACCUCGUGGGAAGUCCUCGUGUUGCACCCC